This 534-nucleotide ribosomal RNA is filed under the name Triticum aestivum (bread wheat). Its description in RNAcentral is "partial small subunit ribosomal RNA". The record is from RNAcentral. Lineage: Eukaryota; Viridiplantae; Streptophyta; Magnoliopsida; Poales; Poaceae.
AUGAUAUGGUCCAUCCGCCUGCCACUGAAGAUCCGUAUCUUCAUGUGGCAAUGGAUUCACGGUCGGAUCCCGUCAGGGGUUGAGGUGCGUAAGCGAAAUGGCCCGGGUACUGGCAUUUGCCCGCUCUGUGGGGUUCCCGAAGACUUGAACCACAUUUUCUUCUCGUGCGUCUCCACCCAGUUCCUCUGGAGCUGUUUUCGCGAGGCGGUUGGUGGAGAUUGGUGUCACACCGACUUUCCGGACUUAUUUGCCGAACUCCAGAUGUCCCCCGCGACCUCUCGCCAUAUUAGGUGGCUUAAGAUUGGGGUCCUCGCCUGGACCCUCUGGACUGUCCGCAAUAAGCUAGUGAUUCAGCACACGCCUCUUCGCCGGUCUACUGACGCUUUUUUCAAACUCUCGGAUUUCUUGCAGCUUUGGCGGCCGCUUAGCCACCCCCGGGGCCGCGACGCCAUCUCCGCCUUCAUUGUCGACCUCCGAUCGAUGGCCGUCCGCCUGUCGUCGCCGCCCCCGCCGCCACCACCGGAGCCAGACUAG